UCUCCGUUGGUGGACCAGCGGAGGGAUCAUUACCGAGUUUACAACUCCCAAACCCCAUGUGAACCUUACCAAACGUUGCUUCGGCGGGAUGCCCCGGGCGCGGGCAGCAAGGCCUCAGCCCCGGAACCAGGCGCCCGCCGGAGGCCCAAACCAAACUCUUGUUUUUGUAGAAUCUUCUGAGUGGCCUUUUAGGCAAAAAAUGAAUCAAAACUUUCAACAACGGAUCUCUUGGUUCUGACAUCGAUGAGGAACGCAGC
This 257-nucleotide unclassified non-coding RNA is filed under the name plant metagenome. RNAcentral describes it as "partial contains small subunit ribosomal RNA, internal transcribed spacer 1, and 5.8S ribosomal RNA". The stretch from base 209 to 257 matches the Rfam family "5.8S ribosomal RNA", at positions 1 to 49 of the family's 154-position model. The record is from RNAcentral.